ACAGGUGGAGAAACUGAAGCAUAGAGGGAAGAAACACUGUUUAUAUGGCAUGCCACUGACAGAAGGGACUGCAAAUGUUGUUGCCUGGACACCAUGCUAUCUUAGACUGAAGGAGCUCUCAUCAGUUUCUAAAUCAGUGCAUUACAGCCAAAUCCUUUCCUAUCAUGGAUGUGUCUUCAUCUUCAUUUUGUUGUCUA
Molecule: long non-coding RNA, 197 nt
Organism: Lagopus muta (rock ptarmigan)
Lineage: Eukaryota; Metazoa; Chordata; Aves; Galliformes; Phasianidae
Exons: 3
Source: RefSeq, a predicted model, not a curated record